Pelobates cultripes (western spadefoot toad) is the source of this 563-nucleotide non-coding RNA. The record is from the annotation of a GenBank genome assembly. Lineage: Eukaryota; Metazoa; Chordata; Amphibia; Anura; Pelobatidae.
CCCCUACUAUGAACCAUAAUGUAUGGUGUCCCUAUCCCCUCGCUAUGAUUAAGGGUGUGUAGUCCGUGGGUGCUCAGGCAGUGUUGUGUUGCCUAUCCUUAUGUGUCAUGCGCGGCCUGAGCGUGCAGUGGGCUCUUUCAAAGCGGAAGUGAUCCGGUGCGUCUUUGCAGAGGCUGCUCCUAAAGAGCUGGGUAAGGGUUUCUGCAAUGUUUUCCCCAUUCUCCCUCAGCCUCUGGCACUCCACGUAUCCUGAUGUUACUGCGGCGACUCCUGUUGUCGAGAUUCUCAAGUUGCCAUUGCAUGGCCAGUAAAAGAGAGCCCUGCCAUUGAAUGGCUGUUACAGAGGCCCUGGCUUUCUCUGCUGUAGCCUCCUUUCGCUGCUCGACAGAGUUCAUGCGGGACUCCUGUGCUGUGAUGCCCGCUUUUAAUUCUGCGACUUCGGCUUUUAGUACGGCAAGCAGGGUGGUGGAGGCUUGUUGUGUUGGAGGUCUUCCUUUUUGACCAUCGAGGCAGACAUGCGUCUUAAUUCUGCCCCGAUAUCGGCUAUGGUGACAUGUUCCCCA